UACCAGACUCCUACGGGAGGCAGCAGUGGGGAAUAUUGCACAAUGGGGGAAACCCUGAUGCAGCGACGCCGCGUGAGCGAUGAAGUAUUUCGGUAUGUAAAGCUCUAUCAGCAGGGAAGAAAAUGACGGUACCUGACUAAGAAGCCCCGGCUAACUACGUGCCAGCAGCCGCGGUAAUACGUAGGGGGCAAGCGUUAUCCGGAUUUACUGGGUGUAAAGGGGGCGCAGACGGCGAUGCAAGCCAGGAGUGAAAGCCCGGGGCCCAACCCCGGGACUGCUCUUGGAGCUGCGUGGCUGGAGUGCAGGAGGGGCAGGCGGAAUUCCUGGUGUAGCGGUGAAAUGCGUAGAUAUUAGGAGGAACACCGGUGGCGAAGGCGGCCUGCUGGACUGUGACUGACGUUGAGGCCCGAAGGCGUGGGGAGCAAACAGGAUUAGAUACCCCCGUAA
RNAcentral lists this ribosomal RNA (447 nucleotides) under uncultured bacterium. Its description in RNAcentral is "partial 16S ribosomal RNA". It matches the Rfam family "Bacterial small subunit ribosomal RNA", at positions 329 to 793 of the family's 1533-position model. The record is from RNAcentral.